RNAcentral lists this transfer RNA (72 nucleotides) under Camelus bactrianus (Bactrian camel). It matches the Rfam family "tRNA". Rfam says of the family: Transfer RNA (tRNA) molecules are approximately 80 nucleotides in length. RNAcentral also lists the same sequence under 2 other names. Lineage: Eukaryota; Metazoa; Chordata; Mammalia; Artiodactyla; Camelidae. The record is from Rfam by way of RNAcentral.
AGGGGUAGAGCUCAGUGGUAGAGCAUGUGCUUAGCAUGCACAAGGUCCUAGGUUCAAUCCCCGGUAUCUCCA